GAUGAACGCUGGCGGCGUGCCUAAUACAUGCAAGCCGAGCGAACGGACGAGAAGCUUGCUUCUCUGAUGUUAGCGGCGGACGGGUGAGUAACACGUGGAUAACCUACCUAUAAGACUGGGAUAACUUCGGGAAACCGGAGCUAAUACCGGAUAAUAUUUUGAACCGCAUGGUUCAAAAGUGAAAGACGGUCUUGCUGUCACUUAUAGAUGGAUCCGCGCUGCAUUAGCUAGUUGGUAAGGUAACGGCUUACCAAGGCAACGAUGCAUAGCCGACCUGAGAGGGUGAUCGGCCACACUGGAACUGAGACACGGUCCAGACUCCUACGGGAGGCAGCAGUAGGGAAUCUUCCGCAAUGGGCGAAAGCCUGACGGAGCAACGCCGCGUGAGUGAUGAAGGUCUUCGGAUCGUAAAACUCUGUUAUUAGGGAAGAACAUAUGUGUAAGUAACUGUGCACAUCUUGACGGUACCUAAUCAGAAAGCCACGGCUAACUACGUGCCAGCAGCCGCGGUAAUACGUANGUGGCAAGCGUUAUCCGGAAAUAUUGGGCGUNAAGCGCGCGUAGGCGGUUUUUUAAGUCUGAUGUGAAAGCCCACGGCUCAACCGUGGAGGGUCAUUGGAAACUGGAAAACUUGAGUGCAGAAGAGGAAAGUGGAAUUCCAUGUGUAGCGGUGAAAUGCGCAGAGAUAUGGAGGAACACCAGUGGCGAAGGCGACUUUCUGGUCUGUAACUGACGCUGAUGUGCGAAAGCGUGGGGAUCAAACAGGAUUAGAUACCCUGGUAGUCCACGCCGUAAACGAUGAGUGCUAAGUGUUAGGGGGUUUCCGCCCCUUAGUGCUGCAGCUAACGCAUUAAGCACUCCGCCUGGGGAGUACGACCGCAAGGUUGAAACUCAAAGGAAUUGACGGGGACCCGCACAAGCGGUGGAGCAUGUGGUUUAAUUCGAAGCAACGCGAAGAACCUUACCAAAUCUUGACAUCCUUUGACAACUCUAGAGAUAGAGCCUUCCCCUUCGGGGGACAAAGUGACAGGUGGUGCAUGGUUGUCGUCAGCUCGUGUCGUGAGAUGUUGGGUUAAGUCCCGCAACGAGCGCAACCCUUAAGCUUAGUUGCCAUCAUUAAGUUGGGCACUCUAAGUUGACUGCCGGUGACAAACCGGAGGAAGGUGGGGAUGACGUCAAAUCAUCAUGCCCCUUAUGAUUUGGGCUACACACGUGCUACAAUGGACAAUACAAAGGGCAGCGAAACCGCGAGGUCAAGCAAAUCCCAUAAAGUUGUUCUCAGUUCGGAUUGUAGUCUGCAACUCGACUACAUGAAGCUGGAAUCGCUAGUAAUCGUAGAUCAGCAUGCUACGGUGAAUACGUUCCCGGGUCU
Molecule: ribosomal RNA, 1372 nt
Filed under: uncultured bacterium
Lineage: Bacteria
Description: bacterial SSU rRNA
Rfam family: Bacterial small subunit ribosomal RNA
Source: RNAcentral